RNAcentral lists this unclassified non-coding RNA (21 nucleotides) under Dictyostelium discoideum. Lineage: Eukaryota; Evosea; Eumycetozoa; Dictyosteliales; Dictyosteliaceae. The record is from RNAcentral.
UUCCAGGAUUCUUCAAUGUAA